ACUGACGCUGAGGUACGAAAGCAUGGGGAGCAAACAGGAUUAGAUACCCUGGUAGUCCAUGCCGUAAACGAUGUCUACUAGCCGUUGGGGCCCUUGAGGCUUUAGUGGCGCAGCUAACGCGAUAAGUAGACCGCCUGGGGAGUACGGUCGCAAGACUAAAACUCAAAUGAAUUGACGGGGGCCCGCACAAGCGGUGGAGCAUGUGGUUUAAUUCGAUGCAACGCGAAGAACCUUACCUGGCCUUGACAUACAGAGAGCUUUCCAGAGAUGGAUUGGUGCCUUCGGGAACUCUGAUACAGGUGCUGCAUGGCUGUCGUCAGCUCGUGUCGUGAGAUGUUGGGUUAAGUCCCGCAACGAGCGCAACCCUUUUCCUUAUUUGCCAGCACUUCGGGUGGGAACUUUAAGGAUACUGCCAGUGACAAACUGGAGGAAGGCGGGGACGACGUCAAGUCAUCAUGGC
RNAcentral lists this ribosomal RNA (460 nucleotides) under Acinetobacter sp. Its description in RNAcentral is "bacterial SSU rRNA". It matches the Rfam family "Bacterial small subunit ribosomal RNA", at positions 739 to 1199 of the family's 1533-position model. The record is from RNAcentral. Lineage: Bacteria; Pseudomonadati; Pseudomonadota; Gammaproteobacteria; Moraxellales; Moraxellaceae.